CCUCCCUCGCCGCCUCUGCCUCCCUCGCCGCCCCCGCAGCCGCCCAGCCCGCUGCCCCCCAGCCCGGCGCCUCUGCCCCCCUCCCCUCCUCCGUCUCCCCUGCCCCCGAGCCCCAAGCCUCCUACUCCCCCCAGCCCCCUGCCGCCUGCUCCCCCGACCCAGCAGUUCACUGGCUCUGUCUUCGUCUACGCUCCUAACCGCCCUAACGGCUUCAACCAGGACGACGUGACCAAGGUGUACGCCAUGAUGCGCUAUGGUCUGGGCUGCGGCAUUGGCAACAACCCCAACGUGUGCCUGAAGUCCCAGCCCUACGUGACCAUCAACGAGACCAACAACGCCUUCUACCCCGCCUACACCAUGCUGGGUGUGAAGAUGUUCUUUGAUGGCUCCAAGGAUGGUUCUGGCCAGCCCUACCCCACCUCCGAGCAGAACAAGUGGGCUGCUGACGCCGUGACCUCCAUGUUCGCCGUGCUGGGCUCGUCUGAGCUUUGGAAGGCCCUGGCUGGCCCCGUCCAGUUCGGUGGCCUGGGUCUGGGCUGCGGUGCGUUCAUGUCGUUCGAGGCUGUCGUUGACGGCCAGUACUACAGCCAGCCCAUCGGCGGCGGCAGCCCUCCCCUGGUGGACAGCUACGACGGCAGCACGUACACCUACCAGGGUGCCCGCUACGUGUGCCCUCUGCUGCUGGGCGGCUUUGGUGGACCGCAGUGGCCCAACGCCAGCCUGCCCUACUACAUCCCCGACGGCGUUGCCGGUCUGCCCGGCUACAUCCGCCUUGGCGCCAUCCCCCAGAACACCAACUACCAGCGUCGCCGCUGCGCCACCAUCCUCACCCCGCCGGAUCUGAUGCAGCCGUCCACUUCGUGCCCUCUGUCCCCUCCUCCCUCUCCCUCUCCUCCUCCCAGCCCCCCGCAGCCGCCUUCUCCUCCCCCGGUGCCCCCGUCGCCUCCCUCUCCUCCUCCCUCUCCUCCCAGCCCCGCCAACCCCUCUCCCCCUCCUCCCGCCCCCCCUGCGGCUUUCUGCGGCCUGAACUUCAAGGUCAUCUCGCGCAUCCCCAAGAACGGUGUUGACCGCAACCCUGACUGCUCUCUGCUGGCGACCCUGGUGCAGAGUACGUUCACCCAGGGCGUGCAGCUGCGCAACCCUCCCCAGUUCCGCUGCGGCACGACCGUCAGCGCUACCGAGAUCAGCGCCGUCGCCGACACUCUGACUACGGAGGGUGCUCAGGUUUUCCUGCGCAACAUGGCCGGCAACAUUGGUGCCUUCAACCAGUUCACCUUCCCUGCCCCCGGCGGUCUGGGCCUGAUUUGCGGUGACUACUUCAACGUCACUUCGACUUGCGGCAUGAACACCACCGCGCCCGUGCCCGUGUUCCAGCCUAACGGCACCGUUGUCAACGCCACCUACCCCUUCGUCGUCGGCCCCGACGCCAUCUUCUACCCCCAGUUCGUCCUGCCGUCCUACACCUGCCCUCCUCCCCCUCCCGCCCCCUCUCCGCCGCCCAAGCCCCCGACCCCCUCGCCUCCUCCUCUGCCCCCUCAGCCCAACCCGCCCCCGGCUCCUCCCAGCCCCAACCCGUCGCCUCCUCCCCCUCCUCCGGGCUUCCGCUUCCAGAUGUCAGUCAUCAACGGUGACCAGAACGACGCCAUCAACUGCCCUCGCUACACAUCCUGGAUGAACGCCAUGAUGGACUCGUUCGAGCGGACCAACA
This 1708-nucleotide long non-coding RNA is filed under the name Chlamydomonas reinhardtii. Its description in RNAcentral is "long non-coding RNA (CREI_LNC000488)". Lineage: Eukaryota; Viridiplantae; Chlorophyta; Chlorophyceae; Chlamydomonadales; Chlamydomonadaceae. The record is from RNAcentral.